This is a long non-coding RNA of Bos taurus (domestic cattle), 1560 nucleotides long. NCBI's taxonomy places the organism in Eukaryota, Metazoa, Chordata, Mammalia, Artiodactyla, Bovidae. The record is from Ensembl.
CUCCUAGAGUAGGGAGUCUGGGCACAUUAAUAUCAAGGUAAGGAUUCUGAAAGUGAGUCAAGUGCGUAUGCACCCAUAUCAACAGGCCCAAGCAACAGGCCAUGGUGGAGACUGACAGUCACCUACCCAGUAUCUAUUCUUCAGCAUCCUUAGUGGCAAGUAGGAUUGAGGGAUGAGCUCAGUAUUGCUGGAGCUUCCAAGUUUUAGAUGCUUAGAUUCUCCAUUUUAUAUGAGCCCUCCAGAUUUUUCAGUGUUGGCAACCAACCAAAACCAAUAUUUAAUCUUGCCUGGGCCAAACACAAUACAUCUGUGGCCCAUAUCCCAUCUCUCUUCUGCUUGUUGGCAACCCCUGCUUUCUGGUGAACGUCAGAGCCCUUUAAACACCUGAAGGGCAUGGGAGCCGGGUUACACUUCCUCCGUGUGGCUCUGAGCCAGUGCAUGCAAGUCACGAGCUAGGAGGUUUCGUCUCCUCUGUUAGGAAGAGCUCCAUCCGCAGAGCUGUCAGAAACAGAAGGAGCUGCCUGGGGAGGUAGGAAGUUCCCUGUCGCUGGAGGUGUUUGAGCAGAUGCUGGAGAACUGCUUGGCAAUGACUUCUAAGGUCUCCCCAGCCCCAGGAGUCUCUGAAAAUUUCCAUGAUGACUACUGCUGCUGCAGUGACUUGUUUGAAAGGAGACAAAAAGAAGGUGGAAUCUGCACGUGAUGGUGACCCAGCUUCCAUCAUGCAGAUGAUCUUGAGGACUGGGAGGUCAGCAGAGCAGAAACUGGAAGGAACCUGAGUUUCUGAAUAACCAUGAGGAGCAAAGCUUCCAUUCACCUGGAUUGUUCAUCUCACAACUGCUACAUGAAUAGAAAUAAAUAUAUUCUUUAAGCCACUGCAUUUUGGGAUCUAUAUUAGCCUACUCUACCAAAUACAAUGAGUUUAUAGGAGUUAGCCAUGUGGAAAAAUGGAGAGAGACAGAUUUCAAAGCACCCAGUCAAGAGAGAGCAUUGCACUUCAAGAUGCAUGAAGCAGUGGCUGUGAAAGGGCUUCAUAUAAUAAUAUGAUAUCUCAGACAUUUAUUUCUCACAGUUCUGGAGGCAGGGAAGUCUAAGAUCAAGGGGCCUGUAGAUUCAGUGCCUGGUGAGAGCUAUCCCUGGCUUGCAGAAGGUUGCCUUCUCGUGUUUUCACAUGGUGUGGAGAGGGAGCUCUGGUCUUUCCUCCUCUUCUUAUAAGGACACUCAUCCCAUCAUAGGGGCUCCACCCUCAUGACCUCAUCUAACCCUAGUCACUUCCCAAAGGCCCCACCUCCAAAUACUAUCUUAUUGGGAGUUAGAUCUUCAACAUAUGAAUGGGGGAAGGGGGCACAAACAUUCAGACCAUUACAGGUGGAAGAAAGGAAGACCGGGCCAUAGCUUGGACCUUGUGUGCCUUGUGAGGACCUUGGAUGCCAUCCUGUGGGCUGUGGGGAGCCAAGCUGGGGAGUGAUAUGAUCAGGUUAGCUUUUCAAUCUGUCAGCUUGAGCUGGAACCUGCAAAAUUUUAAAUUUAUAAAGUACUUCAGAAGACCAGCCAGUCAUACAA